ACAGCUGUUUUAGUCCUUCCUUUUCCUGAGCUUAUAUAUGCUGUGACAACAUGGGGGGUUUGGAUCAAAGCUGAAUUGCAUUUGAUUGCCCUGAAGCAGAGAAAAGAAGAACUUGCAUCUUGAAAUUAGACACGGUUGGAUUUUCAGUGAAGGUGUUUCAGUGAAGACUUAAAUUCUUGAAUCUGACCCUAACUGCUGUGGUCUCACUUUUGUGUCUGCACUGAGUUUGUUACCUGGUGCCAAGUGAUCCUCUCUUCAUCAGGAUAAAGUCACUACAUUAUCAGCUUUUUACACCAGCUACUCAUCUCAGCUGGAGAAAAGAGCACUUGGGAGUCAGAGAGGAAAAGUGUUCAGUGAAGAAAUUCAGUGAUGAGGGAAGAGUUUCAUUGGUGUUGGAAGGCAAACACAGAAAAGUAAACACAGCCCAGUGGAUUACAACAGAUGAAUGGUCACCACUUAGUAACAACAUUAAAUCCUGCCUUUCAAGAGUCAAAAGGACUGGAAUCUGCUUCUAAGCCCACUGUUUUAGUGUCUUCCAUGUUUAUUGCUGAAGUUUUGCCAAAAGAACACCCUGCAGUUCUCCAGGUUUCAGAAGUAUUGCCUGUCAGAAAAGCCAGUGGAAUUCCUUAACAAUAACUGGACUUGCCUGCAGCCAGCAUGAGCCUCGUUCUUCCUAGACAGAUGGAUGUUUCACAGAGGGGCAAAUGAGAGCAUCUCUAUUAAGCACCUGAGACUCCUCUGUCACUUUGUCAAGUGUAACUUGUCCCAGGAAGCCCUUGGGUAUUUGCCUAGAGACAGAGAUUGUGAAUCUGAAGCUGAUACCUCUUUAGUCACUGAGAGUGGAUUUGGGGUUUUUUGUGCUGCUUAUACAAUGGUAAAACUGGGACUAUCACUAUAAAUAUUUCUGUUUGUUUAAGUUAAAGAAUGGAUGUGAUACACUUUAUGAAAACACACCAGUGACUGCAGGCAGUUUAAAAUGGUCUUAUGAGUUAAAAGAGACUUCUCAGGCAUGGAACACAUUUUCAGCACAUCAAUUCUCUAGUUUUGCAGAUAGGGGAAACAAAUCGUGUUUUGCAAAAAUAUGAACAUUGGAAUGAAUGUAUUAAUAUAAUGAAGAAAUGGACCUCUGCUAGACACGGGAUCUAUACCUUCUCUGUGCCUCUGACCUCAGUGUAAUAAUUUUCUGGAAUAUGGAUGGUAUGAAGUAAUUUUAGACAGAAGGUUGUACAGUAGUAAAUUUCACUGCAUGACAUUAAGAAUUUCUUUUAAUUGCUUUAGCAAUUAUUUUGUUUUAUGGUAAAAUUCUCUUUCAUUCUAGAGAGAAGCGUAAGUUGUGUAUCUGUUUUCAUGAAUUUUUACUUCAGCGUGCAAAAAAGUGUAACAGGAUUGUGUGUUUGUAUUAUACAUGUUCCCUGAGAAGCAUCAGAGGUUUAAAAUAAGAGAAAUGACAUUUAAAUUUCAUAUUUCAUAUUUAUAUUGUACAUGGGAUCUAAAUGAAGAGACUAGAACUGCAGGACACAGAUGGCAAAGACUUUUAGCUCUUGUUUUCAGGAGGCUGCUAUAAAUUCUGCUUCAGUAAAUUCUGUAGUCAUGAUGAGGUAACUUGAGAUAGCUUUUAACUUGGUGUCUGAUUGCCCUUUUCUGAAUAACAAAAUCUUUUGUGAUUCCGUAGCUUUCUGCUAUUUCUCCAAGGGGUGUAAUAUCUUGAGAUUUUACAACAUCUUUCUAACACCAAGCAGUUGCACUGCUUUCAUAUUGCAAGAGACACACUAGAUAAAUAGAUUCUUAUUAACAGAUGCAUGUGAAUAUAAAAGCAUACUAGAAA
Neopelma chrysocephalum (saffron-crested tyrant-manakin) is the source of this 1825-nucleotide long non-coding RNA. RefSeq lists it as uncharacterized. The record is from RefSeq and is a predicted model, not a curated record. The transcript is spliced from 5 exons. Lineage: Eukaryota; Metazoa; Chordata; Aves; Passeriformes; Pipridae.